Molecule: long non-coding RNA, 530 nt
Organism: Cimex lectularius (bed bug)
Lineage: Eukaryota; Metazoa; Arthropoda; Insecta; Hemiptera; Cimicidae
Exons: 5
Source: RefSeq, a predicted model, not a curated record
AUAGAGAGAGAGUGAGAGAGAGAUUAGGAGGGAGGAAGGGAGAUUUAAGAUUAUAGAAGAAGCGUUGCAGAAGUCAGAAAUACGAUCGCUUUUUUGGGAAUAUCUCGGAGAACUUGAGCUGAUGAUGAGAAAUGAUAAUGAUAACCUGGUGAUUUUCCUGUUCCACUAAAAGAAAGUCAUAAAGGAGUGAUUUUUUCUGUCCAAUUCAUCUUUUGAAGAUUCGAAAGGAAGUUUGUAUGAUGGAAACAUCCAGAUCGAGUUAAAUUUCGUCAUUGAGAAUGUGAGGGCUAGUUACGCUCCAAAUUAAAAAUGUUUCACGAAAUGCUUGAUGGAACAGCCCGUAAUUUAGAGAAUGGGAAUAGGUAUGAGGACUAUUCACGCUCUAAACGGAAAGUGUUUGAUGACUGUUGAUUAGUGAUGCUUUUUCUGCCGAUAGACACAAGCAAAAUAAGCACAAAGAAUAACAUUCAUACAAAUUUGUGGUAUUCAGCACGACAACAAUAAAGACACAUCUACACAGAAAACAAACA